Molecule: ribosomal RNA, 177 nt
Filed under: uncultured Gammaproteobacteria bacterium
Lineage: Bacteria; Pseudomonadati; Pseudomonadota; Gammaproteobacteria
Description: partial 16S ribosomal RNA
Rfam family: Bacterial small subunit ribosomal RNA
Source: RNAcentral
ACUCCUACGGGAGGCAGCAGUGGGGAAUAUUGCACAAUGGGCGCAAGCCUGAUGCAGCCAUGCCGCGUGUGUGAAGAAGGCCUUCGGGUUGUAAAGCACUUUCAGUCAGGAGGAAAGGUUAGUAGUUAAUACCUGCUAGCUGUGACGUUACUGACAGAAGAAGCACCGGCUAACUAC